Molecule: ribosomal RNA, 268 nt
Filed under: uncultured prokaryote
Description: partial 16S ribosomal RNA
Rfam family: Bacterial small subunit ribosomal RNA
Source: RNAcentral
UACGGGGGGAGCAAGCGUUGUCCGGAAUUACUGGGCGUAAAGGGCAAGUAGGCGGAUUGUUAAGUCAAAAGUGCAAUGUACCCGCUCAACGGGUGCCUGCUUCUGAUACUGGCAGUCUUGAGACCUGAAGAGGAGAGCGGAAUUCCAGGUGUAGCGGUGAAAUGUGUAGAUAUCUGGAAGAACACCGAUGGCGAAGGCAGCUCUCUGGUAAGGUUCUGACGCUGAACUGCGAAAGCGUGGGGAGCGAACAGGAUUAGAUACCCCGGUA